CACGGAGGAUGCGAGCGUUAUCCGGAUUUAUUGGGUUUAAAGGGUGCGUAGGCGGCCGAGUAAGUCAGCGGUGAAAUUUUGCAGCUUAACUGUAAAAGUGCCGUUGAUACUGUGAGGCUAGGAUUUGGUUGCUGUCGGUGGAAUGUGUGGUGUAGCGGUGAAAUGCUUAGAGAUCACACAGAAUAUCGAUUGCGAAGGCAGCUCACAAAGCCAAGAUUGACACUGAGGCACGAAAGUGUGGGGAUCAAACAGGA
Molecule: ribosomal RNA, 254 nt
Filed under: uncultured prokaryote
Description: partial 16S ribosomal RNA
Rfam family: Bacterial small subunit ribosomal RNA
Source: RNAcentral